RNAcentral lists this long non-coding RNA (322 nucleotides) under Phoenix dactylifera (date palm). RNAcentral's name for it is "long non-coding RNA (PDAC_LNC019759)". The record is from RNAcentral. Lineage: Eukaryota; Viridiplantae; Streptophyta; Magnoliopsida; Arecales; Arecaceae.
GGAGAGGAGGAGGAGGGAAGGAGGAAAGAGAAGGAGGAAGAGGGCUCGGUUUGCCCUAGGGAGGAGGAUUGGGGGGUUUUUAUCACCCCCCUCGUGAUGGCUCUCCGCCGCGAAGAUCGCGGCGGCCGAGCGAGAUCCGCGGCCGUGAUUCGGCCGCGGAUGAGCUGGAGGGGGGGGUGCCGCGGGACUAGCGACAUCCCCGCCCCGAUCAUCCCCGAAAGAGCCGGAGAGGAUCGCAAAUCGCGAUCCUCUGUUCCGGCCUUCCAAAAAGAGAACGGGACUGAAGUCGGCAGGGGCUGCCGACUUCAGCCCGUGUCUCACA